UUAGAUGUCCGGGGCCGCACGCGCGCUACACUGAAGGAAUCAGCGUGUGCUUUCCCGGUCCGCCAGGACUGGGUAACCCGUUGAACCUCCUUCGUGAUAGGGAUAGGGGCUUGUAAUUAUUCCCCUUGAACGAGGAAUGCCCAGUAAGCGCGAGUCAUAACCUCGUGUUGAUUAAGUCCCUGCCCUUUGUGCACACCGCCCGUCGCUACCUCCGAUUGAAUGAUUUAGUGAGGUCUUCGGACUGGCGCUCGGAACGGUCUCCGGGCCGGGCCGACGUGCCGGAAAGAUGACCGAACUUGAUCAUUUAGAGGAAGUAAAAGUCGUAACAAGGUUUCC
RNAcentral lists this ribosomal RNA (336 nucleotides) under Smeringopus cf. similis DNA100446129. RNAcentral's name for it is "SSU rRNA". It matches the Rfam family "Eukaryotic small subunit ribosomal RNA", at positions 1473 to 1804 of the family's 1831-position model. Lineage: Eukaryota; Metazoa; Arthropoda; Arachnida; Araneae; Pholcidae. The record is from RNAcentral.